This 445-nucleotide ribosomal RNA is filed under the name uncultured bacterium. RNAcentral's name for it is "SSU rRNA". It matches the Rfam family "Bacterial small subunit ribosomal RNA", at positions 26 to 518 of the family's 1533-position model. The record is from RNAcentral.
AGAGCGAACGCUGGCGGCAGGCUUAACACAUGCAAGUCGAACGCCCGGGCAACCGGGAGUGGCAGACGGGUGAGUAACACGUGGGAACAUGCCCUUCGGUUCGGAAUAACUCGGGGAAACUCGUGCUAAUACCGGAUACGUCCGUAAGGAGAAAGAUUUAUCGCCGAAGGAUUGGCCCGCGUCCGAUUAGCUAGUUGGUGGGGUAAAGCCCACCAAGGCGACGAUCGGUAGCUGGUCUGAGAGGAUGAUCAGCCACACUGGGACUGAGACACGGCCCAGACUCCUACGGGAGGCAGCAGUGGGGAAUAUUGGACAAUGGGCGCAAGCCUGAUCCAGCCAUGCCGCGUGAGUGAUGAAGGCCCUAGGGUUGUAAAGCUCGUUUCGGCGGGAAGAUAAUGACGGUACCCGCAGAAGAAGCCCCGGCUAACUUCGUGCCAGCAGCCGC